CUUUCGGGCUGAGUAGAGCGGCGGACGGGUGAGUAACGCGUAGGAAUCUACCUGGUAGUGGGGGACAACUUGGGGAAACUCAAGCUAAUACCGCAUACGCCCUAAGGGGGAAAGCGGGGGACCUUCGGGCCUCGCGCUAUCGGAUGAGCCUGCGUAGGAUUAGCUAGUUGGUGGGGUAAAGGCCCACCAAGGCGACGAUCCUUAGCUGGUCUGAGAGGAUGAUCAGCCACACUGGAACUGAGACACGGUCCAGACUCCUACGGGAGGCAGCAGUGGGGAAUAUUGCGCAAUGGGCGAAAGCCUGACGCAGCCAUGCCGCGUGUGUGAAGAAGGCCUUAGGGUUGUAAAGCACUUUCAAUUGGGAAGAAAAGUUUGUCGUUAAUAGCGCCAAGCUCUGACAUUACCUUUAGAAGAAGCACCGGCUAACUCCGUGCCAG
Molecule: ribosomal RNA, 437 nt
Filed under: uncultured Haliea sp.
Lineage: Bacteria; Pseudomonadati; Pseudomonadota; Gammaproteobacteria; Cellvibrionales; Halieaceae
Description: bacterial SSU rRNA
Rfam family: Bacterial small subunit ribosomal RNA
Source: RNAcentral